This 424-nucleotide ribosomal RNA is filed under the name uncultured bacterium. Its description in RNAcentral is "partial 16S ribosomal RNA". It matches the Rfam family "Bacterial small subunit ribosomal RNA", at positions 359 to 775 of the family's 1533-position model. The record is from RNAcentral.
GAAUAUUGGACAAUGGGCGAAAGCCUGAUCCAGCCAUGCCGCGUGUGUGAAGAAGGUCUUCGGAUUGUAAAGCACUUUAAGUUGGGAGGAAGGGCAGUAAGCGAAUACCUUGCUGUUUUGACGUUACCGACAGAACAAGCACCGGCUAACCCUGUGCCAGCAGCCGCGGUAAUGCCGAGGGUGCAAGGGUUACUCGGAAUUACUGGGCGUAAAGCGGGCGGAGGGGGUUCGUUAAGUUGGAUGUGAAAUCUCCGGGCUCAACCUGGGAACUGCAUCCAAAACUGGCGAGCUAGAGUAGGGCAGAGGGUGGUGGGAUUUCCUGUGUAGCGGUGAAAUGCGUAGAUAUAGGAAGGAACACCAGUGGCGAAGGCGACCACCUGGGCUCAUACUGACACUGAGGUGCGAAAGCGUGGGGAGCAAACAG